UACGUAGGGUGCGAGCGUUAAUCGGAAUUACUGGGCGUAAAGCGUGCGCAGGCGGUUUUGUAAGACAGGCGUGAAAUCCCCGGGUUUAACCUGGGAGCUGCGCUUGUGACUGCAAGACUAGAGUGUGGCAGAGGGGGGUAGAAUUCCGCGUGUAGCAGUGAAAUGCGUAGAGAUGCGGAGGAAUACCGAUGGCGAAGGCAGCCCCCUGGGUUAACACUGACGCUCAUGCACGAAAGCGUGGGGAGCAAACAGG
This 253-nucleotide ribosomal RNA is filed under the name uncultured bacterium. RNAcentral describes it as "partial 16S ribosomal RNA". It matches the Rfam family "Bacterial small subunit ribosomal RNA", at positions 524 to 776 of the family's 1533-position model. The record is from RNAcentral.